Long non-coding RNA from Ahaetulla prasina, 1101 nucleotides. RefSeq lists it as uncharacterized. The transcript has 3 exons. Lineage: Eukaryota; Metazoa; Chordata; Lepidosauria; Squamata; Colubridae. The record is from RefSeq and is a predicted model, not a curated record.
UUUUAAGAAUCUCAGAGUCCUGCAAGGAAUCCAGAUUGUUUUAGCAUCUUGUUGGGCCAGAAAACGCCAGAGAAUCAGCAAUGGUUGGAAUAACCAUUUCCCCAAAAACAGAGAUAACCAUGAAAUGGGGAUAGAUUCAAACCUGGCUAAAACCAAACAACGCUGUGUUGAUUUUUGUAUUUUUAUUUGCACUUCUGAUGCAGUUUUUAACGAUGCAUCUUAGGAGUCAAGGAAACCCCAAAUCUUAAACAGACAAGGAACAAGUCUCUCUUAUACAGAUAAUCCUCAUUUAACAAUCUGUUGCAUUUAUGACAAUGAUGGGGAAAAAACCCCGACUUUGUGACCGAUCCUCGGAUUUACAACUUUGGCAGAUCUGUAAAGCAAAGGCAAACUGAACUAAGAUCCUAAGCAGAGUCGUGUUUUCACUUAACAAUGGCUUAGCUUCACAAUCUAAUUGUUGGUUCUAGUUGUGGUCAUACAAUGUGGACUCCCUAUAUUAUGAAGCAGUCUAUUAUUGUAUUCUUUCAUUAUUUUUGUGGUUGUUUUCCUUUGGUUGGUUUUCAAUCGAUUUGCUUGCCUCCCAGCUGGUUGCUAUGGAAGCCAGUUUAACAAACAAACCUAAUAACCUUCUGGCCUUUUUCUCUAUCAAACAACGAUCGUUCACAUUAUUUGAAACUUAAAGGAAAACUGAAGGCCUUGUUUGAGAUUUUUUUUUUUGCACAACUGUGCACUGCGUGAAACAAACUACGUGUGCCUUAUUAAGGAAGGCACCCUACAGGAAGGAUAAAUUGGCACAGAGACGUAGAAAUACACAAAGGAUUCUUACAUUUGAAAAAAGAAAAUACAGAGUUUCUGAGUGAUGACAGCUUCAAAAGUGGAUUGUUACUGAGCUCCCUCUGCUGGAAGAAAUAUCUCCAAGCUGUGGCUGCCCUUGGAGAAGUACAGAGGAAAGAGAAGGCAAUACACUAUGUCAAGGAACGUGUUUGAAAUAGCAGCUGUGAGCUUGAUACCAUUCUCCCAAACUGAAUCUUGAGUUUUAUUUUAGCUAAGGAGACCAAAAAGCUGAAAACUGUCCACAGAAAUAGAUCUUUUCAUAAGGGC